Molecule: ribosomal RNA, 484 nt
Filed under: uncultured bacterium
Lineage: Bacteria
Description: partial 16S ribosomal RNA
Rfam family: Bacterial small subunit ribosomal RNA
Source: RNAcentral
AUUGAACGCUGGCGGCAGGCCUAACACAUGCAAGUCGAGCGGAUGAAGGGAGCUUGCUCCUGGAUUCAGCGGCGCACGGGUGUGUAAUGCCUAGGAAUCUGCCUGGUAGUGGGGGAUAACGUCCGGAAACGGGCGCUAAUACCGCAUACGUCCUGAGGGAGAAAGUGGGGGAUCUUCGGACCUCACGCUAUCAGAUGAGCCUAGGUCGGAUUAGCUAGUUGGUGGGGUAAAGGCCUACCAAGGCGACGAUCCGUAACUGGUCUGAGAGGAUGAUCAGUCACACUGGAACUGAGACACGGUCCAGACUCCUACGGGAGGCAGCAGUGGGGAAUAUUGGACAAUGGGCGAAAGCCUGAUCCAGCCAUGCCGCGUGUGUGAAGAAGGUCUUCGGAUUGUAAAGCACUUUUAGUUGGGAGGAAGGGCAGUAAGUUAAUACCUUGCUGUUUUGACGGUACCAACAGAAUAAGCACCGGCUAACUACGUG